This 460-nucleotide ribosomal RNA is filed under the name uncultured bacterium. RNAcentral describes it as "partial 16S ribosomal RNA". It matches the Rfam family "Bacterial small subunit ribosomal RNA", at positions 338 to 795 of the family's 1533-position model. The record is from RNAcentral.
CCUACGGGGGGCUGCAGUGAGGAAUAUUGGUCAAUGGACGAGAGUCUGAACCAGCCAAGUAGCGUGAAGGAUGACUGCCCUCUGGGUUGUAAACUUCUUUUAUAAAGGAAUAAAACGAGGCACGUGUGCCUUUUUGCAUGUACUUUAUGAAUAAGGAUCGGCUAACUCCGUGCCAGCAGCCGCGGUAAUACGGAGGAUCCGAGCGUUCUCCGGAUUUAUUGGGUUUAAAGGGAGCGUAGAUGGGUUGUUAAGUCAGUUGUGAAAGUUUGCGGCUCAACCGUAAAAUUGCAAUUGAUACUGGCAGUCUUGAGUACAGUUGAGGUAGGUGGAAUUCGUGGUGUAGCGGUGAAAUGCUUAGAUAUCACGAAGAACCCCGAUUGCGAAGGCAGCUUACUAAACUGUGACUGACAUUGAGGCUCGAAAGUGUGGGGAUCAAACAGGAUUAGAUACCCUGGUAGUC